This 427-nucleotide ribosomal RNA is filed under the name uncultured prokaryote. RNAcentral describes it as "bacterial SSU rRNA". It matches the Rfam family "Bacterial small subunit ribosomal RNA", at positions 355 to 796 of the family's 1533-position model. The record is from RNAcentral.
UGGGGAAUUUUCUGCAAUGGGCGAAAGCCUGACAGAGCAAUACCGCGUGAGGGAAGAAAGCCCACAGGGUUGUAAACCUCUUUUGUCAAGGAAGAAGUUCUGACGUUACUUGACGAAUAAGCAUCGGCUAACUCCGUGCCAGCAGCCGCGGUAAGACGGAGGAUGCAAGUGUUAUCCGGAAUCACUGGGCGUAAAGCGUUUGUAGGUGGUUUAGUAAGUCUAUUAUUAAAUCUUGAAGCUUAACUUCAAAACUGUAAUAGAAACUACUAGACUUGAGGAUAGUAGGGGUAAAGGGAAUUUCCAGUGGAGCGGUGAAAUGCGUAGAGAUUGGAAGGACCACCGAUGGCGAAGGCACUUUACUGGGCUAUAUCUGACACUAAGAGACGAAAGCUAGGGUAGCAAAUGGGAUUAGAUACCCCCGUAGUCC